GGGGGUAACUGAGGAAGAGACGGAUAUAUCUGGACCUGGUGCCUCCUCAACAUGACAUCCACAGGUAAUUUACUGCCAUGCCUCCUGCUCCUGCACACUCUACAUUGUGUCCAUACUGCAGACUUACCUGCCUAGAACUGACCAGCAGAUCACUGUGGACCUCAUGGCACCCCAAGAUGUCUUCCUGUUCUGGAAACCCUACAGCCUACAAGAUGACCAGGCAAGGAGAUCAGCCAGGCCAGAACUGCAGGCACAAGCUGAAGUCACAGCACUCGGGAGGACACAUCUCGUCGAGAUACACGACCAGCCCACACUAAGGUUUCUGAUGAGCCCCCGAGUUACAGUCUGAUUACUCCAUAUGCACCCCCGGUUACCAUCCCACCAUCUGCCCCACCAAGGUUUUCAAAUGGACAACUGCAA
Long non-coding RNA from Bufo gargarizans (Asiatic toad), 420 nucleotides. RefSeq lists it as uncharacterized. The record is from RefSeq and is a predicted model, not a curated record. The transcript has 3 exons. Lineage: Eukaryota; Metazoa; Chordata; Amphibia; Anura; Bufonidae.